UACAGGGGGAUAACAGUUGGAAACGACUGCUAAUACCGCAUACGAUCCAACCUCGGCAUCGAGGAUGGAUGAAAGGUGGCCUCUAUUUAUAAGCUAUCACUGAAGGAGGGGAUUGCGUCUGAUUAGCUAGUUGGAGGGGUAACGGCCCACCAAGGCAAUGAUCAGUAGCCGGUCUGAGAGGAUGAACGGCCACAUUGGGACUGAGACACGGCCCAG
This 216-nucleotide ribosomal RNA is filed under the name uncultured bacterium. RNAcentral describes it as "partial 16S ribosomal RNA". It matches the Rfam family "Bacterial small subunit ribosomal RNA", at positions 134 to 334 of the family's 1533-position model. The record is from RNAcentral.